Molecule: small RNA, 123 nt
Filed under: Parachlamydia acanthamoebae
Lineage: Bacteria; Pseudomonadati; Chlamydiota; Chlamydiia; Parachlamydiales; Parachlamydiaceae
Description: isrA
Source: RNAcentral
AUCCUGAUAAUAACACAGAUGAUGGUCCUGAUUUUGGUUUAAGCAGCACCACUGCGACGUCGACAUCAAAAUCUUCAAAAAAUGUUGAUCCUCAGGAUGCGGCUGUUGAAGCUGCCAUUGCUG